This 345-nucleotide unclassified non-coding RNA is filed under the name soil metagenome. Its description in RNAcentral is "partial contains 5.8S ribosomal RNA, internal transcribed spacer 2, and large subunit ribosomal RNA". The stretch from base 1 to 120 matches the Rfam family "5.8S ribosomal RNA", at positions 35 to 154 of the family's 154-position model. The record is from RNAcentral.
GAUGAAGAACGUAGCGAAAUGCGAUACGUAAUGUGAAUUGCAGAAUUCAGUGAAUCAUCGAGUCUUUGAACGCACAUUGCGCCCCCUGGUAUUCCGGGGGGCAUGCCUGUCCGAGCAUCAUUGCUGCCCUCAAGCACGGCUUGUGUGUUGGGCCUCCGUCCUCCUCCCGGGGGACGGGCCCGAAAGGCAGCGGCGGCACCGCGUCCGGUCCUCGAGCGUAUGGGGCUUCGUCACCCGCUCUUGUAGGCCCGGCCGGCGCUUGCCGACACAUCAAUCUUUUUUCCAGGUUGACCUCGGAUCAGGUAGGGAUACCCGCUGAACUUAAGCAUAUCAAUAAGCGGAGGA